CGGGAGAUGGACUGGGAACGGCUACUUCGAGGACCUUUUUCGGGCGUUAACUAGUCGACUCAGAACUAGUACGGACAAGGAGAAUUUGGCUGUCUAAUUAAAACAAAGCAUUGUAAUGGUCCCUGUGAAUGCUCACGCAAUGUGAUUUUUGUCUAGUGCUCUGAAUGUUAAAGUGAAGAAAUUCAACCAAGCGCGGGUAAACGACGGGAGUAACUAUGACUCUCUUAAGGUAGCCAAAUCCCUCGUCAUCUAAUUAGUGAUGCGCAUGACUGGAUUAAUAAGAUUCCCACUGUCCCUGUCUACUAUCCAGUGAAACCACAACCAAGGGAACGAGCUUGA
RNAcentral lists this ribosomal RNA (339 nucleotides) under Olea europaea subsp. europaea. RNAcentral describes it as "LSU_rRNA_archaea". It matches the Rfam family "Eukaryotic large subunit ribosomal RNA", at positions 2052 to 2388 of the family's 3401-position model. The record is from RNAcentral. Lineage: Eukaryota; Viridiplantae; Streptophyta; Magnoliopsida; Lamiales; Oleaceae.